Molecule: ribosomal RNA, 934 nt
Filed under: Rhizophagus irregularis
Lineage: Eukaryota; Fungi; Glomeromycota; Glomeromycetes; Glomerales; Glomeraceae
Description: eukaryotic LSU rRNA
Rfam family: Eukaryotic large subunit ribosomal RNA
Source: RNAcentral
UCAGGUAGGAACACCCGCUGAACUUAAGCAUAUCAAUAAGCGGAGGAAAAGAAAAUAACAAUGAUUCCCCUAGUAACUGCGAGUGAAGAGGGACAAGCUCAAAUUUUAAAUCUGUCGGGUUUUACCUGAUCGAGUUGUAAUUUGAAGAAGCGUUUUCUGCGUAUUUGGUCAGCCCAAGUCCUAUUGAAUGAGGCAUCAUGGAGGGUGAUAAUCCCGUCCGGUUGAUCAUUGCGUUUUAUGAUACGCUUUCUAAGAGUCAAGUUGUUUGGGAUUGCAGCUUAAAAUGGGAGGUAAAUUUCUCCUAAGGCUAAAUAACGGCGAGAGACCGAUAGCGAACAAGUACCGUGAGGGAAAGAUGAAAAGAACUUUGAAAAGAGAGUUAAACAGUACGUGAAAUUGUUGAAAGGGAAACGAUUGAAGCCAGUCGUACCUAUGGGUAAUCAGCCUUUUGGGUGUGAUUUUGUGGAGCGUGAAGAGUUAAACGCCUUCAUGCCUGCAUAUUCGUGCACUUUGGGUGUACUUGCCCGUGUGUAAGUUAACAUCAAUUUUGGUGGUCAUAAAAUGGCUGGAGGAAUGUAGCUUCGAUCUUGUAUUGAAGUGUUAUAGCCUUCGGUAGAUGUGACGAUCGGGAUUGAGGAUUGCAACGGAUACCCUUCGGGGCUACCUGUCUGAUCUCUGAUUGUUGCUCUGGUACCGAAAGCUUGCUUACGGUUAUCAAAGUCGAUGGUCAAUAGGUUAGAACGGGUUAAAUUCGUUAAGGAUGUUGACGUAAUGGCUUUAAACGACCCGUCUUGAAACACGGACCAAGGAGUCUAACAUAUAUGCGAGUGUUAGGGUGAAUAAACCCUUACGCGUAAUGAAAGUAAUUUUGGUGGGAUCACUUUUGUGCACCAUCGACCGAUCAGGAUAUUUUUUGAUAGAUUUGAGUAAGAGC